This 352-nucleotide unclassified non-coding RNA is filed under the name soil metagenome. Its description in RNAcentral is "partial contains 5.8S ribosomal RNA, internal transcribed spacer 2, and large subunit ribosomal RNA". The stretch from base 1 to 120 matches the Rfam family "5.8S ribosomal RNA", at positions 35 to 154 of the family's 154-position model. The record is from RNAcentral.
GAUGAAGAACGUAGCGAAAUGCGAUAAGUAAUGUGAAUUGCAGAAUUCAGUGAAUCAUCGAAUCUUUGAACGCACAUUGCGCCCGCCAGUAUUCUGGCGGGCAUGCCUGUUCGAGCGUCAUUACAACCCUCAGGCCCCCGGGCCUGGCGUUGGGGAUCGGCGGAAGCCCCCUGUGGGCACACGCCGUCCCUCAAAUACAGUGGCGGUCCCGCCGCAGCUUCCAUUGCGUAGUAGCUAACACCUCGCAACUGGAGAGCGGCGCGGCCAUGCCGUAAAACACCCUACUUCUGAAUGUUGACCUCGAAUCAGGUAGGAAUACCCGCUGAACUUAAGCAUAUCAAUAAGCGGAGGA